UGGGGAAUAUUGGACAAUGGGCGAAAGCCUGAUCCAGCCAUGCCGCGUGUGUGAAGAAGGUCUUCGGAUUGUAAAGCACUUUAAGUUGGGAGGAAGGGCAUUAACCUAAUACGUUAGUGUUUUGACGUUACCGACAGAAUAAGCACCGGCUAACUCUGUGCCAGCAGCCGCGGUAAUACAGAGGGGGCAAGCGUUAAUCGGAAUUACUGGGCGUAAAGCGCGCGUAGGUGGUUUGUUAAGUUGGAUGUGAAAGCCCCGGGCUCAACCUGGGAACUGCAUCAAAAACUGGCAAGCUAGAGUACGGUAGAGGGUGGUGGAAUUUCCUGUGUAGCGGUGAAAUGCGUAGAUAUAGGAAGGAACACCAGUGGCGAAGGCGACCACCUGGACUGAUACUGACACUGAGGUGCGAAAGCGUGGGGAGUAAACA
Molecule: ribosomal RNA, 427 nt
Filed under: uncultured bacterium
Lineage: Bacteria
Description: partial 16S ribosomal RNA
Rfam family: Bacterial small subunit ribosomal RNA
Source: RNAcentral